This is a long non-coding RNA of Cuculus canorus (common cuckoo), 519 nucleotides long. RefSeq lists it as uncharacterized. NCBI's taxonomy places the organism in Eukaryota, Metazoa, Chordata, Aves, Cuculiformes, Cuculidae. The record is from RefSeq and is a predicted model, not a curated record. The transcript has 4 exons.
AUGAUGAUGUUUCUACGUACGGAUGUGGUGGUUUCCAGCCUUGUGGCUUCCGAGAUGUCCAUUCCAGACACUUACGGUAUGGGUACUAAGAUGGAUGCAUCUUCCUAUUGAGAUGCACGUACAAGCCAUGUAUGCCUGCAGCUACAGCACCUAUAGUAACUGUGACGGAGGCCAGCACCUUCCACAAGCCACCGAGCGAUUGCUAAAGUCCUCCAAAGAGCAAUUAAUAUCUUGCAGUCGACCCCUGACUCGAUGUUCAUGCCGGGACAUUCAUUGAAAUUGCCCUGAUUUGAUGGCAACUGUUGAAGGAAAUAAAAAUGACAGCUUUGGAGCAGUCACAUCAUGCAGCAUGAUGAGUUUUGGCAGCAGGAGACCCAUUCGCCUUCCUGAAGUCUGCUCUUCAGACACAGAGUCUCAACAAACAAGGACUGGUGGACCCUCCUCUACAGCUUCAUGCCUCUUGUUUAACCCAUACUGGAGAUCCCUCCUCUGGUGCUAGUGGGACAUAGAAAGUAUUGG